Cinara cedri is the source of this 226-nucleotide non-coding RNA. Lineage: Eukaryota; Metazoa; Arthropoda; Insecta; Hemiptera; Aphididae. The record is from the annotation of a GenBank genome assembly.
GGUUCCUAAUAUUUAGCGGGUUUUGAGUUCCAGUAGGUAAUAGUAGUAGGUAAUAUGUAUUAUUAACUAAAAUAAUUUAUAAUGAAACUUUCCUAACAUAGAAAUAGUGUUGCGUAUGUAUUUAGUCUUGAUGGUUUCAAAAUGUAGUGGUACUGUAACUGAUCAAUUAUUUUCAAAAAUAAAAUAUAUAAUAAAAAAAAUAGUUCACGGACUUAGAUGAUCAGGG